This 1318-nucleotide ribosomal RNA is filed under the name Enterococcus faecium. RNAcentral describes it as "partial 16S ribosomal RNA". Lineage: Bacteria; Bacillati; Bacillota; Bacilli; Lactobacillales; Enterococcaceae. The record is from RNAcentral.
GGGGUACGAAGAAAAGUCGGUAGACUUCCCACAUCUCUAUCCCACCUUAAGCGGCUGGCUCCAAAAGGUUACCUCACCGACAACGGGGGUUACAAACUCUCCUGGUGUGACGGGCGGUGUGUACAAGGCCCGGGAACGUAUUCACCGGGGCGUGCUGUUCCACGGUUUCUAGACCUUUCUGCUUCUUGUAUGCCCUUUUGAUCCUGAAGUUCCCACUGUGAUAAUCUUUCAGAAAUUACUUUUCCCUUUCCGGUGGACAACGCGCCGUAAUUCCCAUUGGCACACGUGUGUAGCCCAGGUCAUAAGGGGAAUGAUGAUUUGACGUCAUCCCCACCUUCCUCCCAAUUUGUCACCGGCAGUCUUGCUAGAGUGCCCAACUGAAUGAUGGCAACUAACAAUAAGGGUUGCGCUCGUUGCGGGACUUAACCCAACAUCUCACGACACGAGCUGACGACAACCAUGCACCACCUGUCACUUUGCCCCCGAAGGGGAAGCUCUAUCUCUAGAGUGGUCAAAGGAUGUCAAGACCUGGUAAGGUUCUUCGCGUUGCUUCGAAUUAAACCACAUGCUCCACCGCUUGUGCGGGCCCCCGUCAAUUCCUUUGAGUUUCAACCUUGCGGUCGUACUCCCCAGGCGGAGUGCUUAAUGCGUUAGCUGCAGCACUGAAGGGCGGAAACCCUCCAACACUUAGCACUCAUCGUUUACGGCGUGGACUACCAAGGUAUCUAAUCCUGUUUGCUCCCCACGCUUUCGAGCCUCAGCGUCAGUUACAGACCAGAGAGCCGCCUUCGCCACUGGUGUUCCUCCAUAUAUCUACGCAUUUCACCGCUACACAUGGAAUUCCACUCUCCUCUUCUGCACUCAAGUCUCCCAGUUUCCAAUGACCCUCCCCGGUUGAGCCGGGGGCUUUCACAUCAGACUUAAGAAACCGCCUGCGCUCGCUUUACGCCCAUAAAUCCGGACAACGCUUGCCACCUACGUAUUACCGCGCUGCUGGCACGUAGUUAGCCGUGGCUUUCUGGUUAGAUACCGUCAAGGGAUGACAGUUACUCUCAUCCUUGUCUUCUCUUAACAACAGAGUUUACGAUCCGAACCUUCUUCACUCACGCGGCGUGCUCGUCAGAACUUUCGUUCAUGCCGAGAUCCCUACUGCUGCCUCCGUAGGAGUUGGACGGUCUCAGUCCCAAUGUGACGAAUCCCCCUCUCAAGUCGGCAUAGCCUACUGGCCUUGGUGACCCGUAACUCCCCCAACUCGCUAUGGCCGUGUCUACUCUCAUAGGAAACCUGAAGGCGCUUUCAAUAUCAAACCAUUGCCAGU